RNAcentral lists this ribosomal RNA (255 nucleotides) under uncultured bacterium. RNAcentral's name for it is "partial 16S ribosomal RNA". It matches the Rfam family "Bacterial small subunit ribosomal RNA", at positions 524 to 776 of the family's 1533-position model. The record is from RNAcentral.
UACGUAGGGCGCAAGCGUUAUCCGGAAUUAUUGGGCGUAAAGAGCUCGUAGGCGGUUUGUCGCGUCUGCCGUGAAAGUCCGGGGCUCAACUCCGGAUCUGCGGUGGGUACGGGGCAAGACUAGAGUGAUGUAGGGGAGACUGGAAUUCCUGGUGUAGCGGUGAAAUGCGCAGAUAUCAGGAGGAACACCGGUGGCGAAGGCGGGUCUCUGGGCAACAACUGACGCUGAGGAGCGAAAGCGUGGGGAGCGAACAGG